GGUGGCUGCACCGGUCCCCCCGCGACGAGUCGCUGUGAACCCCGUCAGGCCCGGAAGGGAGCAGCGGCAGCAGCGAUCCUCGGGCGCCGGGGUGUGGCUGGUGUGGCUGCCUCCACCC
RNAcentral lists this signal recognition particle RNA (118 nucleotides) under Halorhodospira halophila SL1. The stretch from base 9 to 106 matches the Rfam family "Bacterial small signal recognition particle RNA". From Rfam's summary of the family: The signal recognition particle (SRP) is a universally conserved ribonucleoprotein involved in the co-translational targeting of proteins to membranes. Archaeal SRP consists of a 7S RNA and homologues of the eukaryotic SRP19 and SRP54 proteins. In most bacteria, the SRP consists of a 4.5S RNA and the Ffh protein (a homologue of the eukaryotic SRP54 protein). The record is from RNAcentral. Lineage: Bacteria; Pseudomonadati; Pseudomonadota; Gammaproteobacteria; Chromatiales; Ectothiorhodospiraceae.